GGCAGGCCUAACACAUGCAAGUCGAGGGGUACCGCGCCUUCGGGCGCGGGAGACCGGCGCACGGGUGCGUAACGCGUAUGCAACCUGCCCCGUACAGGGGGAUAGCCCAGGGAAACUUGGAUUAAUACCCCAUGUUGCCCCGAUGACACCUGUGAUCGGGGCCAAAGAUUCAUCGGUACGGGAUGGGCAUGCGUCCUAUUAGCUAGUAGGUGCGGUAACGGCGCACCUAGGCCGCGAUAGGUAGGGGCCCUGAGAGGGGCGACCCCCACACUGGUACUGAGACACGGACCAGACUCCUACGGGAGGCAGCAGUGAGGAAUAUUGGACAAUGGGCGGGAGCCUGAUCCAGCCAUGCCGCGUGCAGGAAGACGGCCCUAUGGGUUGUAAACUGCUUUUAUACGGGAAGAAACACCCCCACGGGCUGGGGGCUUGACGGUACCGUAAGAAUAAGGAUCGGCUAACUCCGUGCCAGCAGCCGCGGUAAUACGGAGGAUCCGAGCGU
Molecule: ribosomal RNA, 502 nt
Filed under: uncultured bacterium
Lineage: Bacteria
Description: bacterial SSU rRNA
Rfam family: Bacterial small subunit ribosomal RNA
Source: RNAcentral